RNAcentral lists this non-coding RNA (587 nucleotides) under Mus musculus (house mouse). The record is from RNAcentral. Lineage: Eukaryota; Metazoa; Chordata; Mammalia; Rodentia; Muridae.
GGCUUAGGACCGUAUUCAUGGAAGAGGAUCGAACAGAGAUGAAGUAGACAGUAUGUCGGAUAAAUCUGAAGACAUGAAAUAGGCAGUAUGUUGGAUAAAUCUGGAGGUCUCUGCUAAGAAAAACUGAGAACUUCACUGUAAGUGCAAGAGUUUGAACAGACUGGCUCCUAGCAGAAAUCAGGAAGGCCAAGGAAAUGGAGACCCUAUGACAUUUAUAAGACGCUUCACAUAAAGAGAAAAUGGAUGGAAACUUAUGUCAAAGAACCUUUCAAAGGCAGGAACCAGAAAUUAGAAAGAUUUUGCAAAAUGAACGAACGAGAGAGGAAGAACAUCAACAACAAAUUUUGUGAGCAGUAUAUAACUACAUUUCAGAAGUCUUAUAUGGAUGUACAGAAAUUCAAUGAGGAAAAAGAAAAAUCAGUGAAUAGUUGUCAAAAAGAACAACAAGCAUUGAAACUGUCCAAAUGUAGUCAGAACCAGACCCUGGAAGCAGGUAAAGAAAUGCAUGAGAAGUCCAUGGAGCUGCAUCAUUGGACUCAAACUGAAUGGUCCAUGUGUUGCCACUGAUGUGAGCCAUUUGCAAGCCC